RNAcentral lists this ribosomal RNA (305 nucleotides) under uncultured bacterium. RNAcentral's name for it is "bacterial SSU rRNA". It matches the Rfam family "Bacterial small subunit ribosomal RNA", at positions 334 to 656 of the family's 1533-position model. The record is from RNAcentral.
GCCUCCUACGGGGCGCAGCAGGGGAUAUUGGACAAUGGGGGGAACCCUGAUCCAGCGACGCCGCGUGAGUGAAGAAGUAUUUCGGUAUGUAAAGCUCUGUCAGCAGGGAAGAAAGCAAUGACGGUACCUGACCAAGAAGCCCCGGCUAACUACGUGCCAGCAGCCGCGGUAAUACGUAGGGGGCAAGCGUUAUCCGGAGUUACUGGGUGUAAGGGGAGCGUAGACGGCUGUGCAAGUCUGGAGUGAAAGGCGGGGGCCCAACCCCCGGACUGCUCUGGAAACUGUAUGGCUGGAGUGCAGGAGAG